RNAcentral lists this ribosomal RNA (400 nucleotides) under uncultured bacterium. RNAcentral's name for it is "bacterial SSU rRNA". It matches the Rfam family "Bacterial small subunit ribosomal RNA", at positions 355 to 747 of the family's 1533-position model. The record is from RNAcentral.
UGAGGAAUAUUGCGCAAUGGGCGAAAGCCUGACGCAGCGACGCCGCGUGGAGGAUGAAGGUCUUCGGAUUGUAAACUUCUGUUAAGUGGGAAGAAAGAGCCGUUUUUAAUAGAGACGGUAAAUGACGGUACCAUUAAAGAAAGCACCGGCUAAACUCGUGCCAGCAGCCGCGGUAAUACGAGUGGUGCAAGCGUUAUUCGGAAUAAUUGGGCGUACAGGGUGUGUAGGCGGCAUGUUAAGUCUGUUGUUAAAUUCUCCAGCCUAACUGGAGACAGGCAGCGGAAACUGGCGUGCUAGAGGGUGGAAGAGAGAAGUGGAAUUCUCGGUGUAGCGGUAAAAUGCGUAGAUAUCGAGAGGAACACCGAUGGCGAAGGCAGCUUCUUGGUCCAUUCCUGACGCU